This 228-nucleotide long non-coding RNA is filed under the name Lathyrus oleraceus (garden pea). Its description in RNAcentral is "Pisum sativum (pea) long non-coding RNA (PSAT_LNC011830)". Lineage: Eukaryota; Viridiplantae; Streptophyta; Magnoliopsida; Fabales; Fabaceae. The record is from RNAcentral.
UUUUUUCCACCAUGAUCCUUGUAGUCUCUACUAUUUUUUGGUGAUAUUUGUGGAAAUUGUGCACGUGUAAUUUCUGAAAAUGCUUAGGGUUUGCUUUGACAUGUCAUUUUGUGCACCAUGCUCACUCUUUUGCUCAUAAAAGGAUGAUGCUUCAUUAGAAAUUCAUGAAAAUUUUUGUGCUUAAACUAGACUCAUUCCUGAGAAUUUUGAUAUGUGGUUUGUAAUUUU